GGAUAUAACCUCCUCUAUAACUCACUGUGUUGUAACCUCCUCUAUAACUCACUGUGUUGUAACCUCUAUAACUGUGUUGUAACCUCUAUAACUCUCUGUGUUGUAACCUCUAUAACUCACUGUGUUUUAACCUCCUCUAUAACUCACUGUGUUGUAACCUCCUCUAUAACUCACUGUGUUGUAACCUCCUCUAUAACUCACUGUGUUGUAACCUCUAUAACUCAUUGUGUUGUAACCUCUAUAACUCUCUGUGUUGUAACCUCUAUAACUCACUGUGUUGUAACCUCCUCUAUAACUCACUGUGUUGUAACCUCCUCUAUAACUCACUGUGUUGUAACCUCUAUAACUCACUGUGUUGUAACCUCCUCUAUAACUCACUGUGUUGUAACCUCUAUAACUCACUGUGUUGUAACCUCCUCUAUAACUCACUGUGAUGUAACCUCCUCUAUAACUCCCUGUGUUGUAACCUCUAUAACUCACUGUGUUGUAACCUCCUCUAUAACUCACUGUGUUGUAACCUCCUCUAUAACUCACUGUGUUGGAACCUCUAUAACUCACUGUGUUGUAACCUCCUCUAUAACUCACUGUGUUGUAACCUCUAUAACUCACUGUGUUGUAACCUCCUCUAUAACUCACUGUGUUGUAACCUCCUCUAUAACUCACUGUGUUGUAACCUCUAUAACUGUGUUGUAACCUCUAUAACUCCCUGUGUUGUAACCUCUAUAACUCACUGUGUUGUAACCUCUAUAACUCACUGUGUUGUAACCUCCUCUAUAACUCACUGUAUUGUAACCUCUAUAACUCGCUGUGUUGUAACCUCCUCUAUAACUCACUGUGUUGUAACCUCUAUAACUCCCUGUGUUGUAACCUCUAUAACUCACUGUGUUGUAACCUCUAUAACUCACUGUGUUGUAACCUCCUCUAUAACUCACUGUGUUGUAACCUCUAUAACUCACUGUGUUGUAACCUCCUCUAUAACUCACUGUGUUGUAACCUCUAUAACUUGCUGUGUUGUAACCUCCUCUAUAACUCACUGUGUUGUAACCUCUAUAACUCCCUGUGUUGUAACCUCUAUAACUCACUGUGUUGUAACCUCUAUAACUCACUGUGUUGUAACCUCCUCUAUAACUCACUGUGUUGUAACCUCUAUAACUCGCUGUGUUGUAACCUCCUCUAUAACUCACUGUGUUGUAACCUCUAUAACUCCCUGUGUUGUAACCUCUAUAACUCACUGUGUUGUAACCUCUAUAACUCACUGUGUUGUAACCUCCUCUAUAACUCACUGUGUUGUAGCCUCUAUAACUCACUGUGUUGUAACCUCUAUAACUCACUGUGUUGUAACCUCCUCUAUAACUCACUGUGUUGUAACCUCCUCUAUAACUCACUGUGUUGUAACCUCUAUAACUCACUGUGUUGUAACCUCCUCUAUAACUCACUGUGUUGUAACCUCCUCUAUAACUCACUGUGUUGUAACCUCCUCUAUAACUCACUGUGUUGUAACCUCUAUAACUCACUGUGUUGUAACCUCCUCUAUAACUCACUGUGUUGUAACCUCCUCUAUAACUCACUGUGUUGUAAACUCCUCUAUAACUCACUGUGUUGUAACCUCCUCUAUAACUCACUGUGUUGUAAACUCCUCUAUAACUCACUGUGUUGUAAACUCCUCUAUAACUCACUGUGUUGUAACCUCCUCUAUAACUCACUGUGUUGUAAACUCCUCUAUAACUCACUGUGUUGUAAACUCCUCUAUAACUCACUGUGUUGUAACCUCCUCUAUAACUCACUGUGUUGUAACCUCUAUAACUCACUGCGUUGUAACCUCCUCUAUAACUCACUGUGUUGUAAACUCCUCUAUAACUCACUGUGUUGUAAACUCCUCUAUAACUCACUGUGUUGUAAACUCCUCUAUAACUCACUGUGUUGUAACCUCCUCUAUAACUCACUGUGUUGUAAUCUCCUCUAUAACUCACUGUGUUGUAACCUCCUCUAUAACCCACUGUGUUUUAAGUGUCUCUGAUUCUGGUAAAGAGGAACGUAGCAGCGUAUGGUUCAACAGAUUGUAAUCUAGAGCCUUUUAAUUGGAGAGGAGAAGGACUCUCGGGCAACAGAUGUGUUGAAUUGUUCUCCUUAAGACCUGUUCUAAAAGGUACCUGAUCUGUCUGAUGAGGCAGACAUAAAUCGGCCAGUGUUUUUAUUGAAAUACAUUUCUCAUCAUAGUCAUUUGUCAGCAACAAGACACAUGUCAAAGCACUCUCACAGCUCUAUAUUGGUUUUCUGUGGUAUAAUUAUCCAUGAUUUACAGACCUCCAAUCCCAGAUGAUUAUGAUGAAGG
Long non-coding RNA from Oncorhynchus mykiss (rainbow trout), 2332 nucleotides. The record is from Ensembl. Lineage: Eukaryota; Metazoa; Chordata; Actinopteri; Salmoniformes; Salmonidae.